GAUGAACGCUGGCGGCGUGCCUAACACAUGCAAGUCGAACGCGAGACCUUUUGCUUGCAAGAGGUUGAGAGUGGCGAACGGGUGAGUAACACGUUGGUGACCUGCCCCGAGGAGGGGGACAACUGUGGGAAACCACAGCUAAUACCCCGGAUGUUGAAGAGUUUAGACGCCUUCAACUAAAGUUUCGGCGCCUCGGGAGGGGCCUGCGGGCUAUCAGCUAGUUGGUGAGGUAAGAGCUCACCAAGGCAAAGACGGCUAGGGGGCGUAAGAGCGCGACCCCCCACAAUGGAACUGAGACACGGUCCAUACUCCUACGGGUGGCAG
RNAcentral lists this ribosomal RNA (324 nucleotides) under uncultured Chloroflexota bacterium. Its description in RNAcentral is "bacterial SSU rRNA". It matches the Rfam family "Bacterial small subunit ribosomal RNA", at positions 28 to 351 of the family's 1533-position model. Lineage: Bacteria; Bacillati; Chloroflexota. The record is from RNAcentral.